RNAcentral lists this long non-coding RNA (363 nucleotides) under Ananas comosus (pineapple). RNAcentral describes it as "long non-coding RNA (ACOM_LNC017656)". The record is from RNAcentral. Lineage: Eukaryota; Viridiplantae; Streptophyta; Magnoliopsida; Poales; Bromeliaceae.
AUUUGGUUAAAAAGCUAUUUGAAUGGUCCCGGUGGAGUUCGGUGAAGUUCUGGAGCAAUCGGGCGUUUCGGUGCGCGUAGGUGCGAAAACGAAACCCGAAAGGCUAUGUUGGACCAUGGACUAAAUCCAGCAUUAGCAUGGAUGAAAAGAUGAUGAAAACAUGCUUGAAAACAUAUUUGGAGAGUUUCGGUUCGAUUUGAAACGAAUCGGAUGUCAAACGAGCGAAAACGAGCGAAAACGGAGCGAAAACGGUGAAAAUGCUGAAAAAUUGGCUAAGUCCUGAAAAAAAGUCCUGAAAAAAAGGCUGUGUACCGGUGACAGGAUUUCGUGUACCGGUACGCAGUGUAAAAUCCGAGAAGAUGG